CAAUAGCGUAUAUUAAAGUUGUUGCAGUUAAAAGCUCGUAGUUGGAUUUCUGGGAGGGUGCCAAUGUCCGUCGUCGUACGUGUUGCAGCGGCGCCCUUCCAUCCUUCUGUUAACGACUUUGGGCAUUCACUUGCCGGAGUCGGGCUCAGAUAUUUUACCUUGAGAAAAUUAGAGUGUUUCAGGCAGGCUAGGCCGGAAUACAUUAGCAUGGAAUAAUGGAAUAGGACUACGGUCUCUUUGUUGGUUUGAGGGACUGCAGUAAUGAUUAAUAGGGAUAGUUGGGGCGAUUAUAUUUAACUUGUCAGAGGUGGAAAUUACUUGGUAUUUGUUUAAAGUAACGGACUACUGCGAAAGACAUUUGUCCAAGGAAUGUUUUCUAUUGAUCAAGAACGAAAGUUAAGGGGAGUCGAAGACGAUCAGAUACCGU
RNAcentral lists this ribosomal RNA (427 nucleotides) under uncultured eukaryote. RNAcentral's name for it is "bacterial SSU rRNA". It matches the Rfam family "Eukaryotic small subunit ribosomal RNA", at positions 592 to 1018 of the family's 1831-position model. The record is from RNAcentral.